This 1014-nucleotide small RNA is filed under the name uncultured fungus. Its description in RNAcentral is "eukaryotic LSU rRNA". The stretch from base 582 to 1014 matches the Rfam family "Eukaryotic large subunit ribosomal RNA", at positions 1 to 429 of the family's 3401-position model. Lineage: Eukaryota; Fungi. The record is from RNAcentral.
UCCGUAGGUGAACCUGCGGAAGGAUCAUUCAUAAUAAGUGUUUUAUGGCACUUUUUAAAUCCAUAUCCACCUUGUGUGCAAUGUCAGUUGUUCUCUUUUUUGAGAAUGACCAAACAUCAACUUAUUCUUUAACUCUUUGUCUGAAAAAUAUUAUGAAUAAAAUAAUUCAAAAUACAACUUUCAACAACGGAUCUCUUGGCUCUCGCAUCGAUGAAGAACGCAGCGAAAUGCGAUACGUAAUGUGAAUUGCAGAAUUCAGUGAAUCAUCGAAUCUUUGAACGCAUAUUGCGCUCUUUGGUAUUCCGAAGAGCAUGCUUGUUUGAGUAUCAGUAAACACCUCAAAGACUUCAAUUUGUUUUGAAUGGCUUUGGACUUGAGCAAUCCCAACACCAGUCUUUACGAUCGGUGGAGGGUUGCUUGAAAUGCAGGUGCAGCUGGACAUUCUCCUGAGCUAAAAGCAUAUUUAUUUAGUCCCGUCAAACGGAUUAUUACUUUUGCUGCAGCUAACAUAAAGGGAGUUUGACCGUAUUGGCUGACUGAUGCAGGAUUUCACAAGGGUCGGCAACGAUUCUUGUAAAACUCGAUCUCAAAUCAAGCAAGACUACCCGCUGAACUUAAGCAUAUCAAUAAGCGGAGGAAAAGAAACUAACAAGGAUUCCCCUAGUAACGGCGAGUGAAGCGGGAUGAGCUCAAAUUUAAAAUCUGGCUGGUUUACUAGUCCGAAUUGUAGUUUAUAGAAGCGUUUUCGGUGGCAGCCUGGGUAUAAGUCCUUUGGAAUAGGGUAUCAUAGAGGGUGAGAACCCCGUCUUUGACUCAGUGCAKGCUACUAUGUGAUACGUUUUCAAAGAGUCGAGUUGUUUGGGAAUGCAGCUCAAAAUGGGUGGUAAAUUUCAUCUAAAGCUAAAUAUUGGCGAGAGACCGAUAGCGAACAAGUACCGUGAGGGAAAGAUGAAAAGAACUUUGAAAAGAGAGUUAAACAGUGCGUGAAAUUGUUGAAAGGGAAACGCUUGAAGU